This 256-nucleotide ribosomal RNA is filed under the name uncultured bacterium. Its description in RNAcentral is "partial 16S ribosomal RNA". It matches the Rfam family "Bacterial small subunit ribosomal RNA", at positions 521 to 776 of the family's 1533-position model. The record is from RNAcentral.
UAAUACGUAGGGUGCAAGCGUUGUCCGGAUUUAUUGGGCGUAAAGAGCUCGUAGGCGGCCUGUCACGUCGGAUGUGAAAACCCGGGGCUCAACCCCGGGCCUGCAUUCGAUACGGGCAGGCUAGAGGAUGGCAGGGGAGACUGGAACUCCUGGUGUAGCGGUGAAAUGCGCAGAUAUCAGGAAGAACACCGGUGGCGAAGGCGGGUCUCUGGGCCAUUCCUGACGCUGAGGAGCGAAAGCGUGGGGAGCAAACAGG